GCAGCCCGAGGCGCGUCGUGCGUUCUCCUGGGAAAGAUCACGGGAGCCUGGCGGUGGUGGGCUGCACAGGCUCCCGGGAGGGGCGGUGUGGCGAGUGACCUGUGCUCGCACACAGGCUUUUUGGUGGCGGCAGCAGCAGCCUUAGCGUCUCACGCCUGUCUCUGGGGUCCGCGCUAAUGGCCGCGGCUAGGAAGUCUCUGGAGCUCGUUUAGGCGGCGCUCUGAAUCCCCUCUCCUCGCACACCAGGAAACAAAGAGAGCUUGGAAGCACGCCUUGAAUUAACCAGAGAUGCCCUGGAGGAUGAACGGCAAGGCUGAGAAUCACUGAAUUGAGAAGCUGAAAAGCAGUAGAUAUAGAGAAGCAACGCUCUGGAGAAGCCUGAGGCUGGCGAUACAAUGUCAGAUGGAGAGAAUACAUAUGGAUAUUCACUUUUCCUAAGCUCUUUUAUCCAUGAUACCAGCAAAACAAAAACAAAAACGAACUCCUCUUCAUCAACAAGAGUGACAGCCCCAAUUGCUAGACUACGUGCUGAUAAGAUCCCAGGCUAUGAAAGCCACAGAAACCAGUUAGCGAGGCAAGGAAAUAAGGACCGCAGGUUUGAUUUUUCUAUUCAAUUCCAUCUUUUUGGAAUCUGCCUGAGACACUAAGAUAAUCUUAUAUACUAUGACACUUUUUGGAGGGUUUGAUCAAUCUUUUUUAUAUACCAUCAGAAGGCUGUAUAUCAUGUUUUAAAUUUUAUUCAAUAGCCUAAAUGUGAGCAGAAGUUGCAACAUUAUUUCAACACAAGAAACACAACAUUAUUAAAUGUUACGGAUAUUAAACCAUGAAGAAGUGUUUGACAACCCCUUGUAACUUUUCUUUAAAGCCAAAAAUGUCUAUUCUGUAGCCAUACACUUUCAAAUAUCAUCCCAUCUAGCUUGGGGUUGAAAAAUCUCUGUGAUAAUCAGCCCACACAGUCCUGCUUCACCAGCUUCGCUUGCUGCCACGGAAGUGAAGGAUUCGACAUAUUUGUUAACAUUAUAUAGUAAUUGGACAAUCUUUUGUUCAAUGCUCUUAAUGUUCCUAGAAUAAAAACAUUAAAAAUGCACUUUAAAAAACCGGGAAUACUCAUUUCACACAAGCAAUAGUUUUUAAUUUUGAAAAAGAGUCUAAUUGAAAUUACAUUUGUUAUGCAGAGACUACCAGUAAUUAUCUUGGCUUCAAAUAUGCAAAUGCAAAGAUUCCUUUGGAAGUGAUGACUCUUUUCAGAAGUGGCUACUGGUUGAGUUCGGUGAUCUGGGGACUGGCCUGUGAAGCAGGUGGUCCCAGGGGUACUGGACGGCCUUCCAGAGCAGCUGUGGUAGCACACGUGCCAAUUUAGCCAAGAGAUUCCUGACCCGGCAGUAAGUCACAGUGCUGGUCCCAAUCACACCACUUCAACCACAGAGUUCUUGAACUGGGCAAACCCUCUUCCCACAAAGCAGUGACACACCAUCGUUUUAGCCUCUAGUCUCCUAAUAUGAUCAUCAAAAAUGAGAGAACCCAGACACACAUGAUGAAACUAAAAAGGGAAGUUGGAAUCCUGCCCCAGCUAUGACUUCAGGGGUUUGGUAAAGGAGACCACCAUUGCCAAAAGCAGUGACUUACAGGAAAGGAGGGACUCUCACAGGAUGCCAUAACUCACAUUUUGGGGCUCAAAACAGCAUGCAAGAACCUCUCUCUUAAAUAGCUCAUGGCCAGAGACAACUUUACCACCUCCUCUGGAUGAUAUAUCAUGUUAUUGCAAUUUAUGUGACUUCGGUAACUACUGUACAGUAACCACUCCAAGUCCUCUGAACAGGAAGCUUCUCAACAUACUGAUUUCGAAUGUCCCACAAGUGCUAUAAAGUGAUUGUUGUUGACCAUUGUCUUGUUUUAAUGUCCCCUAAAUAAUAAUAAAUUUAAUGCUAAAAAAAAUUCUCAUUCAGGAAUGUAUUUCCUGUAAACUACCAAAUGAUGUAAAAAAAUAAUAAAUUUCCCCCUUGGCAACUUAAUUUGUAGAUAACUGAGGUUAUGUUUAGAUAGGAGUCUUACAUUGAAUUUGGACUCUAUGUGACUUUAAUAUCAUUAAGGGAAUAUUGUAUUGGUUACAAUGGCUCAGUAAAGUAACUGGUUUCCAUGCGGUUCUAUCAAUCUAUUUCUGUAACACUGUACACUAGUUUUCCCCCUAGAGUACUCCUUG
This is a long non-coding RNA of Balaenoptera acutorostrata (minke whale), 2200 nucleotides long. RefSeq lists it as uncharacterized. The transcript has 3 exons. The record is from RefSeq and is a predicted model, not a curated record. NCBI's taxonomy places the organism in Eukaryota, Metazoa, Chordata, Mammalia, Artiodactyla, Balaenopteridae.